This 521-nucleotide ribosomal RNA is filed under the name uncultured bacterium. RNAcentral describes it as "bacterial SSU rRNA". It matches the Rfam family "Bacterial small subunit ribosomal RNA", at positions 7 to 553 of the family's 1533-position model. The record is from RNAcentral.
GAGAGUUUGGUCAUGGCUCAGAGUGAACGCUGGCGGCGUGCUUAACACAUGCAAGUCGAACGAGAACGGACUAUAGCUUGCUAUAGUUGUCAGCUAAGUGGCGCACGGGUGAGUAAUAUAUAGGUAAUGUGCCCUAGAGAGGGGGAUAACAUUUGGAAACGACUGCUAAUACUCCAUACGCCCUUCGGGGGAAAGAUUUAUCGCUAUUAGAUGGGCCUGCGUUAGAUUAGCUUGUUGGUGGGGUAAUGGCCUACCAAGGCAACGAUCUAUAGCUGGUCUGAGAGGAUGAUCAGCCACACUGGGACUGAGACACGGCCCAGACUCCUACGGGAGGCAGCAGUGGGGAAUAUUGGACAAUGGGCGCAAGCCUGAUCCAGCAAUGCCGCGUGAGUGAUGAAGGCCUUCGGGUUGUAAAGCUCUUUCAAUAGUGACGAUGAUGACGGUAACUAUAGAAGAAGCCCCGGCUAACUUCGUGCCAGCAGCCGCGGUAAUACGAAGGGGGCUAGCGUUGUUCGGAAUUA